RNAcentral lists this ribosomal RNA (1313 nucleotides) under uncultured bacterium. RNAcentral's name for it is "partial 16S ribosomal RNA". It matches the Rfam family "Bacterial small subunit ribosomal RNA", at positions 1 to 1319 of the family's 1533-position model. The record is from RNAcentral.
UUAGAGUUUGAUCCUGGCUCAGGAUGAACGCUAGCGGCAGGCUUAACACAUGCAAGUCGAGGGGCAGCAUGUCCAGCAAUGGAUGAUGGCGACCGGCGGAAGGGUGCGUAACGCGUGAGCAACAUGCCCUAUACAGGGAGAUACACCAGGGAAACUUGGUCUAAUAUCCCAUAGCAUUCAUUGAAGGCAUCUUUAAUGAGUUAAAGCUUCGGUGGUAUAGGAUUGGCUCGCGUGACAUUAGCCAGAUGGUGAGGUAACGGCUCACCAUAGCAAUGAUGUCUAGGGGUUUUGAGAGGAAGGCCCCCCACACUGGGACUGAGACACGGCCCAGACUCCUACGGGAGGCAGCAGUGAGGAAUAUUGGACAAUGGAUGGAAAUCUGAUCCAGCCAUGCCGCGUGCAGGAAGACGGCCUUAUGGGUUGUAAACUGCUUUUAUACGGGAGCAAUAAGGGUUACGAGUAAUCCGAUGAGAGUACUGUAUGAAUAAGGAUCGGCUAACUCCGUGCCAGCAGCCGCGGUAAUACGGAGGAUCCGAGCGUUAUCCGGAAUUAUUGGGUUUAAAGGGUGCGUAGGCGGCCAUUUAAGUCAGCGGUGAAAUUUUGCAGCUUAACUGUAACAGUGCCGUUGAUACUGUUUGGCUAGGAUUUGGUUGUAGUGUGCGGAAUGUGUGGUGUAGCGGUGAAAUGCUUAGAUAUCACACAGAACACCGAUUGCGAAGGCAGCACACUAAGUCAUUAUUGACGCUGAGGCACGAAAGUGUGGGGAUCAAACAGGAUUAGAUACCCUGGUAGUCCACACUGUAAACGCUGAAAAGUCGCUGUCGGCGAUACACAGUCGGUGGCCAAGCGAAAGCAUUAAGUUAUCCACCUGGGGAGUACGACCGCAAGGUUGAAACUCAAAGGAAUUGACGGGGGCCCGCACAAGCGGAGGAACAUGUGGUUUUUUUCGUUGUUGCGCGUGGGGCCUUCCCCGGGCUCGGGCGGUGCGUGGGUGUUCGUGGGGUUGUGUUGUCCUUCGGGGCGUGUCUCGUGGUGCUGCGUGGUUGUCGUCUGCUCGUGCCGUGGGGUGUCGGCUUUUGUGCCGUCUCGCGCGCGGCCCCCGUCUUUUGUUGCCGUCCGGUCGCGCUGGGGGCUUUUUUGUGGCUGCCCCCGUCCGGUGUGUGGGGGGGGGGGGGGGCGUCUUUUCUGCGCGGCCCUUCUGUCCGGGGGGGCGCCCGUGUUUCUUUGGGGGGUGCGGUGGGCGGCUGUCCGGUGGCGGGGUGCUUUUCUCCUCUCCCUUUCUCUGUUCGGGUUGGGGUGUGCGGCUCGCCUCC